GCUGGGUGCGGUGGCGCAUGCUUGUAGUCCCAGCUACUUGGGAGGCUGAAGGUGGGAGGAUUGCUUGAGCCCAGGAGUUCUGGGCUGUAAUGUGCUAUGCAGAUCGGGUGUCCGCACUAAGUUCGGCAUCAAUAUGGUGACCUCCCGGGAGCGGGGGACCACCAGGUUGCCUAAGGAGCGGGGAACCGGCCCAGGUCGGAAACGGCGCAAGUCAAAACUCCCCUGCUGAUCAGUAGUGAGAUCGCACCUGUGAAUAGCCACUGCACUCCAGCUUGGGCAACAUAUCGAGACCUCGUCUCU
Molecule: signal recognition particle RNA, 300 nt
Filed under: Cebus imitator (Panamanian white-faced capuchin)
Lineage: Eukaryota; Metazoa; Chordata; Mammalia; Primates; Cebidae
Description: Metazoan signal recognition particle RNA (ENSCCAG00000006160.1)
Rfam family: Metazoan signal recognition particle RNA
About the family: The signal recognition particle (SRP) is a universally conserved ribonucleoprotein. It is involved in the co-translational targeting of proteins to membranes.
Source: RNAcentral